AUAAUACUCCCUCUGUCCCAAAAUUCUUGUCUUAGAUUUGUCUAAAUAUGGAUGUUUCAAGCCACGUUUUAGUAUUAAAUACAUCCGUAUCUAGACGAAUCUAAGACAAGAAUUUUGGGACGGAGGGAGUACAUG
Molecule: non-coding RNA, 135 nt
Organism: Triticum aestivum (bread wheat)
Lineage: Eukaryota; Viridiplantae; Streptophyta; Magnoliopsida; Poales; Poaceae
Source: Rfam